This is a long non-coding RNA of Physeter macrocephalus (sperm whale), 3071 nucleotides long. RefSeq lists it as uncharacterized. Lineage: Eukaryota; Metazoa; Chordata; Mammalia; Artiodactyla; Physeteridae. The record is from RefSeq and is a predicted model, not a curated record. The transcript is spliced from 3 exons.
UACACGGGCCUCUCACUGCCGUGGCCUCUCCCGCCGCGGAGCACAGGCUCCGGACACGCAGGCCCAGAGGCCACGGCCCACGGGCCCAGCCGCUCCGCGGCACGCGGGAUCCUCCCGGACCGGGGCACGAACCCGCGCCCCCCGCAUCGGCAGGCGGACUCUCAACCACUGCGCCACCAGGGAAGCCCCUGCCUGGUAACUUUUUUAAUUUAAAAUUUAAAACUCAACAUUUUAAACACUAUAAUGUAGCAACGCUGGAAAUUAGAUGUCCACCCUUCCCCAGGGUUUGCUCCUGUGGCUGUUGGUUACUGUUGCUUGUUUUUUUUUUUUUCUGAAUUAAUUUUGUGAAGUCAGUAUUCGCGUACGGCCACUGAAAUCUCUGCUCAGUUAGUCUGGUGGUCAGCUCACAGAGACUUCCUAAAAUGCUUGGAACCAACACAUCUCCCAGUCUUUACUGAGGGGCUUUGUGCUAAGCAGAGGAGCAAGCACUCAGCUAAAUAGCCUACAUUUCUGCCUUAGUCGUUUAUUUCUUUCCCUCCCUCCCUCCCUUCCCUUCCUUCCAUUCCUUCCUUUCCUCCUUCCUUCCUCCCCCCUUCCCUCUCUCUCUUUCUUUCUUUCUUUCUUUUCUCACACAGCUGUUGGUUUUCAAGGCUAGGACAGAGUCGGGGAGGGGAGAACAGGAAUAGUGCACGUUAAGACACCACAAAGCUCAUUGUUCCCGCUGAGAUUCACCAGUUUUUCUUGAAUAAGCACUUGCUGGAUUGCUGCAAGACUGGUUAAUUUCUAGAGUUCUGAAAAAGUUUAUUCUGACCAUUUUGGCUAAUGUUCUCAUUGUUUUUAUGGAGAAGAGGAUUUUUGGAGGUUCUUACUCUGUCAUUUUUUCUGAUGUCAUCCAAAGUUAAUAUAUGUAGGGCACUUAAAAAAACAAUGUUUGGGGGACUUCCCUGGUGGUCCAGUGGUUGAGAAUCUGCCUUCCAAUGCAGGGGACACAGGUUGGAUCCCUGGUCGGGGAACUAAGAUCCCACAUGCUGCGGGGCAACUAAGCCCACGUGCCGCAACUACUGAGCCCUCGCGCCUCAAGUGGAGAGCCCGUGUGCCGCAAACUACAGAGCCCACGCGCUCUGGAGCCUGCAGGCCACAACUAGAGAGACCGCUUGCCACAGCGAAGAUCCCAUGUGCUGCAACUAAGCCCCAGCGCUGACAAAAAAUAAAUAAAUAAAUAAAAUAUUUAGGAAAAAAAACGUUUGGCAGAGACUGUGCUAUGUUUGUAUUUGCAGUUGUUGAUGUUGUUGUUAAUCAAUGAGAGAACACAAAUGAACUCUGUUCCUCCCUCUGGAAAAGAGUGAUCCAACAGAGCACAGGAAGGACGGGUGGGGAAGGAAAAAGAUGUCCACUUGCAGAGAAAGGAGGGAAGAAGGCAGGAAUACACUUCGGAAGCUUGGUGGGGGUAAGGCAGUGCUCACAAAUAUGGAAGGUAUGAUUCUCUCUGGACCAGGAUGAGACAGCGUGGAGACAGACUCUGCUCAGGCUCAAGGCCAAACCAUGCCGGCUCGUCCCCUGUGGCUGGUCCACUCGCCUCCCUCCCGCCUGUCUCUCCUUGUAUAGACUCACCUCACCUCUCUCUUCUUUUGCUCUGUAAACUCACCAGGCUUUAAAAGGCUGGUGCCAAGGACAGGCGGACAGGACCUUAACAGUGUGUUCCCGUGCAUGGUCCCUGGAGACUCUGCCCUGCCCUGCCCUGCCCUGCACAGGGGGGUUGGCUGGAUGAGGCCCCUGUUUAUGGGUGUGCUCAGCAGUGGCUGAGGGGCGUGGGCAUCCGGGCUAUGUGACACCCUUCAAGCACAUGUCCGUGCCUGUUAAAGCCCUCAGGCCUGGCACUUGGUGUUUCCAAGACAGCUGGGUGUUUAUGAGUCUUCCGGGUGUCCAGUAGGAGCCAGCAGGAGGGGAAGGAAGAGAAGGGAGCGAAGUGGCGGAAAGGGGUUUGGGCACCUUCCUCCCCACGUGGACCGCAAGAUCUUCGGGGACUUAGCAGUGACUGUCUUGAAGUGCCUGAAAAUGAACCAAUGAGGUUUACUGAAAGAAAGAAAAGAAACCGGAUCUUUGACUCCAGGGAAAACGUGGGUCUGUGUCUGAAGUGACCGCAGGGCCGCCCAGAUGUGGAGGCUGCACCUGCUACGUGCUGGAUGCCGGGGACUCCGACGUGGCAGAGGAUCUGCCGACUGUCCUCCUUCGCGGGCUCAGGGCUACACUGGAUCUCUCAGCGUCCUUUGCAGAUAGGUGGGCCACGGGAGCCAGCUGGCCAAUGGGAGGUGGGCGGAGGUGACAGGCGUCCUUCCUGGACAGGUGGGGGCACCUCUCCCUCUCCACGGCCUCCCCCGCCAGCCCAGGGGCUGGUGGAGCCACAAGACGGGCCCGGCCUGGGGCCCUGAAUCCUCUGUGGAGGAGAGCCAUCCCCAAAGAGGACGACCCACCUUGCCUCGAGGGCGGUAAGUCCACUUCGAUGUCGUCUCAGACAUUCUACGUUCUGGCGUGUUUCUGUUUCACUGAUAAUCAAGAAGAAGAGACAAGACAGGCGUGGUCUCUGCCGUCCUGGAGCUUUCCAGAUACACAGUCAUCCAGUGACGCCUGAGGACGGGGUCGGAAGGAGGCCAGAGUUUCAGAGAGCACGCCAUCCGAGGCUGCACAGGAGAGGUCAGGAGAGCUUCUCCUCGUCGGGAAGAUGGGAAAUGUCUUUACCACCUUUCAGAGCGGAAGCGGGGCCUAACCCUAACCCUAGCCCAUGCUGGUCAGAGCACUUUGAGAAGAUCCAUUGUGAUGACGUGGAGGGUAAGUCCCUAGUUUUAAACUUCUCGUUUCUCGGAGCUGCCUUCAGAGACUGUGGAGUUUGCGGGGGAGCCCCCAUGUCCUCUCCACGGCCAAGUGCUUGGGGCUCACAGCCUGCGCAGUUGCUUUGAGCCCCAGCGCCCGGGACGGGUUUCCCUCGUGCUCUUUUCUCCUUUCUAAAAUGAGCUCGUGGGUCACCGAAGGGCCUCGCUGUCCCGCAGGAGCUGUUUGGGGUCUUUGUUCGGCUG